RNAcentral lists this unclassified non-coding RNA (189 nucleotides) under uncultured Ascomycota. RNAcentral's name for it is "sequence contains ITS1". Lineage: Eukaryota; Fungi; Ascomycota. The record is from RNAcentral.
CAGUUUAAUUCUUGCCAGCGCUUAACUGCGCGGCGAGAACUAAUCCUUACACACUGUGUUUUUUUGUUAUAAGAACCAUUGCUUUGGCUUGGCGCAAGCUGGGCCAGAGUUUAACACUAAACUUCAAUUUUUAUUGAAUUGUUAUUUAAAUUAUGUCAAUUUGUUUGAUUAAAUUCAAAAUAAUCUUCA